AACCAUAGAAACCUGCGGAGUACCUGCGGAAGGAUCAUUACAAGAAUCGAGGCUGACGGUGCCUACUCCCUAGGCUCCGUCCAGUCCCGCUCUCUACCUUGCCUACUGCGCCGUUUGUUGCUUCCUGGCGGCGUCCCGUCGCCAGGGCCUUUUGAAAGCCAAGUAUAAGCAUUGAAACUUCUGACAUACACUAAAUCGUACAACUUUUAACAAUGGAUCU
This 220-nucleotide unclassified non-coding RNA is filed under the name soil metagenome. RNAcentral's name for it is "partial contains 5.8S ribosomal RNA, internal transcribed spacer 2, and large subunit ribosomal RNA". The record is from RNAcentral.